GGCCACCGGCCACGAGGAAGAGGGACUUUUGCAUUUGGCAGCUGGACGUUAGUGACCAAACUCACCAGCCUGUUACGCAGUCAAGCACCCUCCUCUGAGCUACAGCAACCUUCACAGCUGGCAAUAAAGGCACCUUAACCCCUGAGUUCCUUCAGUGUGUCCACCUCUGGGGUCCAGCUCCAAUCACCAGAUACUCGGGGUAUGUCUAUACUCUCUGCCAAAUUGGCAGGCAGCGGGAGAUCAAGUGGAGGG
Molecule: non-coding RNA, 252 nt
Organism: Chelonoidis abingdonii (Abingdon island giant tortoise)
Lineage: Eukaryota; Metazoa; Chordata; Testudines; Testudinidae
Source: RefSeq, a predicted model, not a curated record